UUAAAUUGAAGAGUUUGAUCAUGGCUCAGAUUGAACGCUGGCGGCAGGCCUAACACAUGCAAGUCGAACGGUAACAGGAAACAGCUUGCUGUUUCGCUGACGAGUGGCGGACGGGUGAGUAAUGUCUGGGAAACUGCCUGAUGGAGGGGGAUAACUACUGGAAACGGUAGCUAAUACCGCAUAACGUC
Molecule: ribosomal RNA, 188 nt
Filed under: Escherichia coli
Lineage: Bacteria; Pseudomonadati; Pseudomonadota; Gammaproteobacteria; Enterobacterales; Enterobacteriaceae
Description: partial 16S ribosomal RNA
Rfam family: Bacterial small subunit ribosomal RNA
Source: RNAcentral